Molecule: ribosomal RNA, 725 nt
Filed under: Paenibacillus sp. P3758
Lineage: Bacteria; Bacillati; Bacillota; Bacilli; Caryophanales; Paenibacillaceae
Description: bacterial SSU rRNA
Rfam family: Bacterial small subunit ribosomal RNA
Source: RNAcentral
CUCAGGACGAACGCUGGCGGCGUGCCUAAUACAUGCAAGUCGAGCGGAUCCCUUCGGUGAUUAGCGGCGGACGGGUGAGUAACACGUAGGCAACCUGCCUGUAAGAUCGGGAUAACUACCGGAAACGGUAGCUAAGACCGGAUAGGUGGUUUGGGCGCAUGCCNGGAUCAAGAAACACGGCGCAAGCUGUGGCUUACGGAUGGGCCUGCGGCGCAUUAGCUAGUUGGUGGGGUAACGGCUCACCAAGGCGACGAUGCGUAGCCGACCUGAGAGGGUGAUCGGCCACACUGGGACUGAGACACGGCCCAGACUCCUACGGGAGGCAGCAGUAGGGAAUCUUCCGCAAUGGGCGCAAGCCUGACGGAGCAACGCCGCGUGAGUGAUGAAGGUUUUCGGAUCGUAAAGCUCUGUUGCCCUAGACGAACAGCUAGGGGAGUAACUGCCCUUAGUGUGACGGUAUAGGAGAAGAAAGCCCCGGCUAACUACGUGCCAGCAGCCGCGGUAAUACGUAGGGGGCAAGCGUUGUCCGGAAUUAUUGGGCGUAAAGCGCGCGCAGGCGGCGAUUUAAGUCUGACGUUUAAGCCCAGGGCUCAACCCUGGUUCGCGUUGGAAACUGGAUCACUUGAGUGCAGAAGAGGAAAGCGGAAUUCCACGUGUAGCGGUGAAAUGCGUAGAGAUGUGGAGGAACACCAGUGGCGAAGGCGGCUUUCUGGUCUGUAACUGAC